Molecule: long non-coding RNA, 4773 nt
Filed under: Sus scrofa (pig)
Lineage: Eukaryota; Metazoa; Chordata; Mammalia; Artiodactyla; Suidae
Description: lncRNA (ENSSSCG00000053953.1)
Source: RNAcentral
AAAGUUGAAAAAUUGCAUGCAAAAUAAGUGUCUAGGCAGUGAUGAGUCAAAUAUUGUCUCAUCAACAUUCAUCAUGAUGCCUCUGGCAUGAAAAAGAACGUUCUCCUCUUGAGACACAGAGAGAGCAGGGAAAAGUCAAUCAGGGUGAAGGAGCCAGGCAUUCCUUCUAUACAUAGAUGAUUUCUCCUGAGGUUUACAUUGUUUAUCAGAUAGUUCACAUCGCAAUAAGUAAAUCCUCUUUCUUUAGCUAGUUACUAACCAGUCACAAGAUGUGCUUUUCUAAUAGCACUUCAUAUGAUUUUUUACUUUAUUGCCUAAUGUAAGCUUUGUUACCAAGUUAAUUGAGCUGAUGAUAUCCAUAAGUGGGAUAAUUCAGAGAUGGUAAAUCAGCCUCUAAAUUUUCUUUCUAAAAGAAAAGCUUAUUUUCUGAUUUAAUUUGGUUGUUUCACUAUGAUAUAUAAAAUCUAUUUUUCAUCCUCUUUUUUUUCCUUUCUCAUGUUUAUUUUCAUUUUCAAACCGCCCUUUACUUUAUAUCUAUAAUGAAUUUUCCAAAUCUUUCUCACCUUGUAGUAGGAACACUCUGCUGGUUCUAUAACCUUGUGAUGAAGAGAUUUUUACUUUUGUUGAGCAGCUGAGUUUCCAAAUCAUAAAUCUGACGGCAAUCUUGUGAUGCCUGUCACUGGAUUGCUGAGCAAUUUAUUGAACUAGCCAGUCCUUCAGAACUGGCAUUUUGCUUGAUAGGAAGUUAGAGGAGUCAGAUUUUGCUACGAAUGUGGCUUUGCUUGGGGAAAAAACCCACGAUUUUUUUUUUUCUUUUUACGGCCACACAUGCACAUGUGGAAGUUCCCACACCAGGGGUCAAAUUGGAGCUGCACCUGCCAGCCUACUCCACAGCCACAGCAAUACUGGAUCCAAGCUACAUCUGUGACCUACAGCAGAGGUUCACAUCUGUGACUUCUUUAACCCAGGGAGUGAGGCCAGGGAUUGAACUUGCAUCCUCAUGGAGACAACAUCAGGUCCUUAACCCACUGAAUCACAGCUGGAACUCAGGAACUACCCCCUGCCCUGCCCCUUUUGCAACAGACUCUUGUUCACAGCCUCAGAUCGAGUACCAGUCUUAUUGGGAGAGGGAAGGGAAUAGGUUUUGUUAAGCAUCUACUAUGUACCUGCAGCUGUAGGCAAGACAUAGUACUUAUUUCCACAGAGCUUACAGGUUACCAGGGAAAAGAGAUAUUUAAAUGAUUGUUAUAGUACAUGUGAUUAUUAUGAUAUGUCAUUAUUGCAGUGGACAGGAGGGAGAUCUUAGUAUUUUGGGCAAGAGAAGCCUUCUGGAAAAAAAUAAUGUUAAGAUAAGUCCUGAUGGAAAUUAGUAGAAAUUAGACAGGUGAUGAGAGAUGGGAUCAGGAGGGGGCUAGGUAGUAUUGUAAUGCUGGGAUGGAAGAUGACUUUUGGCAGGAGGUAUAACAUGUGCAAAAGCAUGUUUGAGGAAUAUAAGUAAGUCCAGAUAGCUACGGAUUAUAGAAUUUGAGUGGUAUUGGGUAGUCUAGAGAUAGAGGAAUCAUUCAUUUGACAUUUACGUAUUUACAUUUAUAUGCUAGGUGCUGGUGAUAGAUUAAGUGGAGGUGCUUCCUGUCCUCACCAAGUUUACCUUCUAGUGAAACAGACGCUAGGUAAAUAAGGAAACAAAUCAAAAUCGGAAUUAAUGUAGUUUGUGAUAAGUGCAGUGAAGAAAAGUUAAUGGUACGUGAUAGAAAUGUGGAUAUGGCUACAGAGUUGACUUGGUACAGGAAGUGAUCCUUACAUUGCAUCAUGAAACAGCACUAGGAAAAGUCAACCAUGAGAAGGGGAGGAGAAAGGGAAUUCCAACAAAGGAGAUGAUCUUUAUAAAGCCCAAGACUCAGGAAACAGAGUUUUGAGAGGAGGCUAAUGUGGUUAAACAUAAUAAUCUAGGGGUAAAAUGUUUUGAGAUGAAGAUGGAGAGGUGAGCAGGUAGAACUUUGUUCUCGGUUUUACAGGAAAGAAAUCUGAGAGGCUAUCUGCCCAGGAUUCUCCCAGGUAGUAAAUGGCAAAGCUUUGAAGACUUUAUAUUCCAUAUUUGUUUGUUCAUGCCCAUGUUUGUUUGUUUGUUUAUUAAACUAAUUAAUAUUUAUUGGCAGCCAGGCAUCAUGUGUGCUCCAGGGACACGUUAUUAUAUUGGAUAUUCAAGAUCUUUGCCUUCAUGGAGCUAUGUUUUGCUGUUUUCUCUGACUUAUGUUUGCAUCCUUGGAGGGCAAGGGGAAAACAAGAACUUUCAUCUGUAAGUAAUGGAAAAACAAUGAUUAAAUAUGGUUUAUGGGGAGUUCCCACUAUGGUAUAGUGGGUUAAGAAUUCGACUGCAGUGGCUCAGAUUGCUAUGGAGGUGUGAGUUGCAGCUGUGACUGGAAUUCAAUCCCUGACUCAGGAUCUUCCAUAUGCUGAGGGUGCAGCCACAAAAAAAAGGCUUAUGACUUAAAGGGAAGAUUGUUUGCUUCUGUAGUUGAAAUGAGGCUUCCAGGGUGAUUGAAUAAAUCUCCCUCUAUUUUUUUCCCUGUCCUUCUCUUAGUUUUUUUCUCUUCUGUGAUUCAGUUUUGCACCGUUCCAGAUUUUGUAUCCACAUACCACACUGUCCAAAAAGAAAAACAGUCCCAGAGCUUGUGUCAUAAGUCCUGAGCUUUGUUCUAGUUGGGUUGACCUUGAUAGAGCCUGGAUCACAUUCAUGCUGAGUGGCUUAGGCCUGGGCUCCAUGUUUAUUCCUGAGGUCAUAGUUGUGGUGAGAAUAUUCCCAGAGAUUCUUAAUGGGGAGUGAUAGCAACCCUCGGGUGUGUGUCCACAGAAAUUUAUGAGAAGUGUUGUGCUAUCACAGUGAAGGGAAGGAGUUCAAAACUGGAGUUUAGUGGAUGAGGACCAGGGAUGCUAGAGGUCCUUCAAGGCAGUGGAGAGGUCUGUACCACAAAGAACUGUCCCUUAUUCUGCAUACCUUUUGGAUGUGCUUCUGGACAAUACAUAGGUGAAGAAUGGUACAUAAUCAUCAGAACCUAGAGCUUAGCUGUGUGACGUUUAAACACAAAGUGGGGCUUGGGGGACAAUAUUUUAAUAUAUACCGAAUCUCUCAGAAAAAUAGCUAUUGGGUAUGUUGUGAGAAUAUUUUACUUUGUUCAGAAUUAUUCCAAGAUUUUCUCAUCCAUUGAAAAAAGUUGCAUCAUGUUUGGUUAUGAUGGUCUGGUAUUUGAGAUGUCUGUGCAAUACACCUUAUCCCUUACAUUUGCAGGUAUCUCAUUUCAUGAUGGUUCCAGGUAAAGGUAUGGACAUUUGAUUGUGUUAUCAUGUCUAAGUAUUUACAUAUUGAAAUAUAUUUGUUUUAUAAAACCCUUUUAUUUCUGCUUUACAUUUUCUCUUGAGCAUCAUAUUGAUUUUUGAAAUUAUGAAGAUAAUUAUAUUUAUGCAUUAAUUUUUUUAGUAUAGAAAUGUAUAUUUCAAAAUUGUUGUUAUGCAAAGGGGUUGAUAGAUCUGAAAUCACUUGUUUAGACUCCCCCCCAGUCAACAUGCACCCCUGGACUUGGGGGUUGGGGUCAAUACCUGCACAACCUGGUUAAUAUACACUAAGGAAAAGGUGGAAUGGCUGUUAGGGAAUACCUACAGUGUCCACUGGAGCUGCUUUUUAUAGUUAAAAGACAGAAGUGAUUAGAGUUUAAUAUUUUUGUGUGUUUUACUAUUUAUAAGUAACAUACCAUCACUUCUGCCAUAUUCCAUUGAUUACACAGGCCAACUUUGGCACAAUGUGAGACUGUGCAAGGAUGUGAAUCCCAGAUACGAAUACCAAGAAGUAAGAGCUGUAAUACCUCUGACACCUGAAGUACCAUUCUGAUGUCUAGUAUGAAACUAAGUUUUCUUUUCUUUUUUUUUUUAAGUUGAGGUAUAGUUGAUUAACAAUGUUCUGUCUGUUUCAGGUAAAUGGCACAGUGAUUCAGUUAUGUAUGUGUGUAUGUGCGCAUAUUCUUUUUCAGAUUCUUUCCUGUUAUAGUUUAUUAUAAGGUAUUGAACAUAGUUCCCCCUGCUAUACAAUAAGUCCUUGUUUAUCCAUUUAUGUACAGUAGUGUGUAUCUGCUAAUCCCAAGCUCCUAAUUUAUUCUUCCUUUUCUUUCCCCCUUGGUAAUCAUAAAUUAGUUUUUCUAUAUAUUUGUGAGUCUGUUUCCAUUUUGUAAAUAAAUUUCUUUUUUUCAGAUGGUACAUUUUGAAAAUUUUAUUUUAUUGAAGUAUAGUUGAUUUACAGUGUGUUAAUUUCUGCCGUAUGGCAAAGUGAUUCAGUUAUACUGAAUAUAUAUACAGCAUAUAUAUACAUAUUCUUUUUCGUAUUCUUUUCCAUUAUGGUGAUCACAGGACACUGAAUACAGUUCCCUAUGCUAUACAGUAGGACCUUGUUUAUCCAUAAAUAAGUUGAUUGGUAUUUUUUUUUUUUAGGUUCCACACAUAAAUGAGUCAUGUGGUACUUGUCUUUCUCUGACUUAUUUCACUUAGUACGAUAAUCUUUAGGUCCAUUCAUGUUGUUACAAAUGGCAUGAUUUAUUUUCAAUCUUAAAUGUACUCUCAGGGAAAAUCCGGGUUAAGGUAACUUCUUGCUGUGAAUAAGGCAACUGCUUGCUGCCCCAAAUGUUUAUUUUGAGAAGCAAAUUCACCUGGGAUGAAAUGACACAAAUUUUAUUUCAUGUUGAAAUUUUUGUCAGUGUAGAUUUCAGAUUCUUGCUUUUGACAGUUCAG